This 253-nucleotide ribosomal RNA is filed under the name uncultured bacterium. Its description in RNAcentral is "partial 16S ribosomal RNA". It matches the Rfam family "Bacterial small subunit ribosomal RNA", at positions 524 to 776 of the family's 1533-position model. The record is from RNAcentral.
GACGUAGGGCGCGAGCGUUGUCCGGAUUUAUUGGGCGUAAAGAGCUCGUAGGCGGCUUGUCGCGUCGUCCGUGAAAACCCACAGCUCAACUGUGGGCUUGCGGUCGAUACGGGCAGGCUAGAGUUCGGUAGGGGAGACUGGAAUUCCUGGUGUAGCGGUGAAAUGCGCAGAUAUCAGGAGGAACACCGGUGGCGAAGGCGACAUCCUGGACCGGUAUUGACGCUGAGGCGCGAAAGCCAGGGGAGCAAACGGG